GACGAACGCUGGCGGCGUGCUUAACACAUGCAAGUCGAACGGAAAGGCCCUGCUUGCUGGGUACUCGAGUGGCGAACGGGUGAGUAACACGUGGGUGAUCUGCCCUUCACUUCGGGAUAAGCCUUGGAAACUGGGUCUAAUACCGGAUAUGAGCUACUUUUAGUGUGAUGGUUGGAAAGUUUUUUCGGUGUGGGAUGAUCUCCCGGCCUAUAAGCUUGUUGGUGGGGUAAUGGCUUACAAGGGCGGCGACGGGUAGCCGGCCUGGGAGGGUGACCGGCACAAUGGGGACGGAGAAAGGGCCAGGACUCGAAGGGGAGGAGGAGGGGGGAAAAAUUGAAAAGGGGGGGAAGGCUGAUGGAGGGAAGGCGGGGGGGGGAAGAAGGGCUUUGGGGUGGAAAACCUCUUCGAGAGGGAAGAAAGUGAAAGUGACGGUACCUAGAGAAGAAGCACCGGCUAACUACGUG
RNAcentral lists this ribosomal RNA (464 nucleotides) under uncultured bacterium. RNAcentral describes it as "partial 16S ribosomal RNA". It matches the Rfam family "Bacterial small subunit ribosomal RNA", at positions 28 to 507 of the family's 1533-position model. The record is from RNAcentral.